Anas platyrhynchos (mallard) is the source of this 1112-nucleotide long non-coding RNA. RefSeq lists it as uncharacterized. NCBI's taxonomy places the organism in Eukaryota, Metazoa, Chordata, Aves, Anseriformes, Anatidae. The record is from RefSeq and is a predicted model, not a curated record.
GAUGACAAACAAAACCAGAUUUGAUUUUGCACCCCCCCCCUUCCUUUCGGUGGGGAAGAGGUGGGGGGUUACACAAAGGAGUGAAAGGAGCCUGGGUCUGUGUAUUGAGAAUUAAUGAAAUUAACGUAAUCCUUUCCAUUAGUGGGCUUUUUUGAAAGGCCCCAGAUUUAGGCUUGAUCUCUGCUGCACCGGCUAAUUGCCCAGGUUAAUCUUAUUAAUGCCAUUGUGCAGAAGUGGUUAGCAGCUCCUAGCCUCGUCUAUUAUGCACCUACUUUGCUCGUGUUAGUUCACAUUAGUGGGUGCGAUUUCCUCCGUCUGAAGCUCAGAUUCGUUAUUUAUGCUUCGAAUUGGUUAAGAAGCAAGUUUAAAAAAAAAAUAAUAAACUUCGGUAUAAGCAUGCAAUCCCCCCUCCCCCCAAGUGUUUCUGUUAGCUGGGUUUGAGUCCUGCGUCCCCCGGCUCGGAGAACUGAAGCGGCAUUGAGGAGUAUUCAGAUCCAGACAGCUAUCACUUUCUAUUUUUAAACAAGCCAGAAGGUGGAAAUGUUAAUGACCACUGCCAUCUCAAAUCCCCGGGUCUGAAUACUUCGUCUGUCACGACUGUCACUGGGAAUCCACAGGAGGUGAACUGAAUAAGAUUAGACUAUUUACCCCAUCAGCCCUCCAUCAAAGAAGGUAGGAAAUUGUACGCAUGAAAUGAAAAUAACCCAUUAAGGUCCGUUUACGAGGAACACAUUAUUUUGCCUCAACAAAAAAAAAUAUCUUCGUUAGCGCUUACUCGCACUUUUAUCCUUCCUUUCCUCGAAAUUCUGGGAUUUAUAACUGCAUCUGAGAACGAUCUCAACCAAAAACCUAUUUCUAGUAAAAGACUCGUAUGAACGUGGAGGAAAAAGAACCCCAGGACUUAAUUCUCACUUUAUUAAUACACCGCGAUGAGACAAAUUAUUAGCGUCGUUUGCUUUGCUUCAUUUAUUUCCUGAUCAAUUUCUUUCCGCCUUCGGUAUUUAGGAGCUGACCUUCGUGCGGAUUUUGCAAAUUUGAUGUAAAGUGAAACUAUUUGACGUGGAGUUUUCUUUUUUUUAUUUUUUUUUUCCUUUUUGUUAGUUUGGUGUGAA